UACAAGCAGUGGGAGCACCUUCGUGGUGUGACUGCGUACCUUUUGUAUAAUGGGUCAGCGACUUAUAUUUUGUAGCAAGGUUAACCGUAUAGGGGAGCCGUAGGGAAACCGAGUCUUAACUGGGCGAAUAGUUGCAAGGUAUAGACCCGAAACCCGGUGAUCUAGCCAUGGGCAGGUUGAAGGUUGGGUAACACUAACUGGAGGACCGAACCGACUAAUGUUGAAAAAUUAGCGGAUGACUUGUGGCUGGGGGUG
This 255-nucleotide ribosomal RNA is filed under the name Serratia marcescens. Its description in RNAcentral is "partial 23S ribosomal RNA". It matches the Rfam family "Bacterial large subunit ribosomal RNA", at positions 565 to 823 of the family's 2925-position model. Lineage: Bacteria; Pseudomonadati; Pseudomonadota; Gammaproteobacteria; Enterobacterales; Yersiniaceae. RNAcentral also lists the same sequence under 2 other names. The record is from RNAcentral.